This 215-nucleotide long non-coding RNA is filed under the name Capsella grandiflora. RNAcentral describes it as "long non-coding RNA (CGRA_LNC000677)". The record is from RNAcentral. Lineage: Eukaryota; Viridiplantae; Streptophyta; Magnoliopsida; Brassicales; Brassicaceae.
CAAGAUAGGUGUGUUGUGGCCAACCCAAGAUGGUACUUGUCCUGAAAUUGAAGUUAUGAAUCUCUUGACCUAUAUGUUACAUGGCCUAAGUCGUCGUUACAACAUUCUUCGAUGGCUUAAGUGAUUGUUAUUGUUUAGUUGAUUAUUAUUAUUUUACCUUUGCUUUUUUAUUUUAUUUUGGAUGUUUAAUACAAAAAGUAAACAUAUAAGAUUUU